RNAcentral lists this ribosomal RNA (407 nucleotides) under uncultured bacterium. RNAcentral's name for it is "partial 16S ribosomal RNA". It matches the Rfam family "Bacterial small subunit ribosomal RNA", at positions 30 to 526 of the family's 1533-position model. The record is from RNAcentral.
AUUGAACGCUGGCGGCAGGCCUAACACAUGCAAGUCGAGCGGAGCGGCGGACGGGUGAGUAAUGCCUAUGAAUCUGCCUGGUAGUGGGGGAUAACGUCAGGAAACGGGCGCUAAUACCGCAUCCUAUCAAAUGAGCCUAUGGCGGAUUAUCUAUUUGGUGGGGUAAAGGCAUACCAAGGCGACGAUCCGUAACUGGUCCGAGAGGAUGAUCAGUCACACUGGAACUGAUACACGGUCCAGAUUCCUACGGGAGGCAGCAGUGGGGAAUAUUGGACAAUGGGCGAAAGCCUGAUCCAGCCAUGCCGCGUGUGUGAAGAAGGUCUUCGGAUUGUAAAGCACUUUAAGUUGGGAGGCGUUACCAACAGAAGAAGCACCGGCUAACUCCGUGCCAGCAGCCGCGGUAAUUC